CAGCCGGCGGCGCUGGGUGACGCCCGCGGGGAGGCCCGACUUCGACCACCUGCUGCGGACCUACGGAGACGUGGUUGUACCAGUUGCAAACUGUGGGGUCCAGGAAUACAACUCGAACCCCAAGGAGCACAUGCCUCUCAGAGACUACAUCACCUACUGGAAAGAGUACAUCCAGGCGGGCUACUCCUCUCCCAGGGGCUGUCUCUACCUCAAAGACUGGCACCUGUGCAGGGACUUCCCGAUGGAGGACGUUUUCACCCUGCCUGUGUACUUCUCCUCCGACUGGCUGAAUGAGUUCUGGGAUGCACUGGAUGUGGAUGACUACCGCUUUGUCUACGCGGGGCCUGCGGGCAGCUGGUCCCCGUUCCAUGCUGACAUCUUCCGCUCCUUCAGCUGGUCUGUCAAUGUCUGUGGGAGGAAGAAGUGGCUCCUCUUCCCCCCAGGGCAGGAAGAGGCCCUGCGGGACCGCCACGGCAACCUGCCCUACGACGUCACCUCCCCAGCACUCUGCGACACACACCUGCACCCGCAGAGCCAGCUUGCUGGCCCACCCUUGGAGAUCACGCAGGAGGCGGGCGAGAUGGUGUUUGUGCCCAGUGGCUGGCACCACCAGGUGCACAACCUGGUAAUGUGCUGCUCUCCUGCCCCCUAUCAGGGGCCUUCCUGCAGGAAGACGGCAGCACCACCUCCCCACUCUCCCAGCGAGAGCGGGGCUGGAAUGGGGUGGCUCAUGGGUGAGGCUGACCCCUUCACAAGGUGGUGUCGCUGAGGCCUAGCCUCUGUUUCACCCACUGCCGGUCCCUGGGUCUACUUGCUCUGGGUUCAUUGUGGCCUGAGGUGGUCCGAGCCCGCCACCCACUUCCCUGCUGAGCAAGCCCUGCUGGGAGACA
This 890-nucleotide small RNA is filed under the name Pongo abelii (Sumatran orangutan). RNAcentral describes it as "retained intron". Lineage: Eukaryota; Metazoa; Chordata; Mammalia; Primates; Hominidae. The record is from RNAcentral.